GAGUAACACGUAUCCAACCUUCCCAUAACUCAGGGGAUAGCCUUUCGAAAGAAAGAUUAAUACCUGAUAGUACUUUUUUCAAGGCAUCUUGAAAAAGUUAAAGAUUUAUUGGUUAUGGAUGGGGAUGCGUUCCAUUAGAUAGUUGGUGAGGUAACGGCUCACCAAGUCUUCGAUGGAUAGGGGUUCUGAGAGGAAGGUCCCCCACAUUGGUACUGAGACACGGACCAAACUCCUACGGGAGGCAGCAGUGAGGAAUAUUGGUCAAUGGGCGAGAGCCUGAACCAGCCAAGUAGCGUGAAGGAAUGAAGGUCCUAUGGAUUGUAAACUUCUUUUAUAGUAGAAUAAAGUGAGCCACGUGUGGUUUUUUGUAUGUAUACUAUGAAUAAGGAUCGGCUAACUCCGUGCCAGCAGCCGC
Molecule: ribosomal RNA, 415 nt
Filed under: uncultured bacterium
Lineage: Bacteria
Description: bacterial SSU rRNA
Rfam family: Bacterial small subunit ribosomal RNA
Source: RNAcentral